This 226-nucleotide unclassified non-coding RNA is filed under the name uncultured fungus. RNAcentral describes it as "sequence contains ITS1, 5.8S rRNA gene". The stretch from base 178 to 226 matches the Rfam family "5.8S ribosomal RNA", at positions 1 to 49 of the family's 154-position model. The record is from RNAcentral. Lineage: Eukaryota; Fungi.
UCUCCGUUGGUGAACCAGCGGAGGGAUCAUUACUGAGUGAGGGUCUCCGGGCCCGACCUCCAACCCUUUUGUGAACCACCUCGUUGCUUCGGGGGCGACCCUGCCGUUCGGCGCGGCGCCCCCGGAGGCUCAUCAAACACUGCAUCUUUGCGUCGGAGUCUUAAUGAAUUUAAACAAAACUUUGAACAACGGAUCUCUUGGUUCUGGCAUCGAUGAAGAACGCAGC